RNAcentral lists this microRNA precursor (169 nucleotides) under Podarcis lilfordi (Lilford's wall lizard). The record is from RNAcentral. Lineage: Eukaryota; Metazoa; Chordata; Lepidosauria; Squamata; Lacertidae.
CCAGCCGGGAGAGUGCGCGCGGGGCUAAAGCAGCCCCGCGACCCUCUCCCGGCUGGGGAGGUGACGUGCGGCUAUAGAGGCUCCUGCCAUAGCCGCGCGUCACGUCUCCAGCCGGGAGAGGGUCGCAGGGCUGUUGCUUCUUUAGCCCGCGCGCGCUCUCCCGGCUGGA